AUGAUUCCAAAACUAUUUAUAUAUUUUAUCAUGCCUUUAAUUAUAUGUUUUGGAGUAUCUCACCCUUUACUUGUUUCGUCGUUGCCUUUAUAUUACUCGAGUCUCUUUAUUUUGAGUCGCUCUGUUCUGAUAAUAGUAACACUCGGGUUUUGGGCGACGUGA
Vicia faba (fava bean) is the source of this 162-nucleotide non-coding RNA. The record is from the annotation of a GenBank genome assembly. NCBI's taxonomy places the organism in Eukaryota, Viridiplantae, Streptophyta, Magnoliopsida, Fabales, Fabaceae.